Molecule: transfer RNA, 92 nt
Filed under: Bacillota bacterium
Lineage: Bacteria; Bacillati; Bacillota
Description: Firmicutes bacterium (anaerobic digester metagenome) tRNA-Ser
Rfam family: tRNA
About the family: Transfer RNA (tRNA) molecules are approximately 80 nucleotides in length. Their secondary structure includes four short double-helical elements and three loops (D, anti-codon, and T loops).
Source: RNAcentral
GGAGAGAUGGCUGAGUUGGACGAAGGCGCUCGCCUGGAAAGCGAGUAUACGGUGAUACCGUAUCGAGGGUUCGAAUCCCUCUCUCUCCGCCA